RNAcentral lists this transfer RNA (87 nucleotides) under Candidatus Omnitrophota bacterium. Its description in RNAcentral is "Candidatus Omnitrophica bacterium (groundwater metagenome) tRNA-Ser". It matches the Rfam family "tRNA". Rfam says of the family: Transfer RNA (tRNA) molecules are approximately 80 nucleotides in length. Their secondary structure includes four short double-helical elements and three loops (D, anti-codon, and T loops). The record is from RNAcentral. Lineage: Bacteria; Pseudomonadati; Candidatus Omnitrophota.
GGAGGAGUGGCAGAGCGGACGAAUGCGGCAGUCUCGAAAACUGUUGUGCUCGCAAGGGCACCGUAGGUUCGAAUCCUACCUCCUCCG